UUCUGAGCUUCAUCAGCUCCAUUACUACUUCACCCAACAAAAGUCCCUGGUGCUCCCUACAUACAAAAAUAUACUCAGGUUCUUCUACCAAAGAAGAUACGGAGCCAGCCGCACGCCCUGCUUCUGGAGCAGCAGCUACAGCUACAGAUGCAGGGGCAAGUGUGAGGACUCGGGGCCUGUCAGGCCUCAAGAAGCACGGCCGCCGGGAUGCAGCGCCUGAGACGAUGUGACCCUCUGCCUCCCUCCUACGAAGACCCAUACGAUUCUAUGGGUCCUGCUCAGAUAAUCCAGGAUCAUCUCUUCAUCUCAAGAUCCUUCGCCACAUCAGGUAAGUCCCUUUGGUCAUGUAAGAUAACACAUCCAGAGUUCUGGACAGUAGGACGUGGACAUCUUCAGGGCCAUCGUUCUGUCUCGCAUGUUUGCCCAUCAUUGAUUAGUUUUCUCCAAAUCCCUCUCCGCCCGCUGGGAUCCUUCUAUCUACCUCCAGCACCCAGAUCAGCCGCCAUUACCUGACCCACACCCACCGGGGCAGACGGACCACUCACCUCUUCUCUACACCACUUUGCAUCUA
This is a long non-coding RNA of Canis lupus familiaris (dog), 571 nucleotides long. RefSeq lists it as uncharacterized. The transcript has 3 exons. The record is from RefSeq and is a predicted model, not a curated record. NCBI's taxonomy places the organism in Eukaryota, Metazoa, Chordata, Mammalia, Carnivora, Canidae.